AUAAAUGAUGAACAACGGGUCUACUGAGGCCUUUCCGACGGGAAAGAUCAAUGAGGAACCGUUGGAGCACUGAUA
This 75-nucleotide small nucleolar RNA is filed under the name Methanosalsum zhilinae DSM 4017. RNAcentral describes it as "Small nucleolar RNA sR3". It matches the Rfam family "Small nucleolar RNA sR3". Lineage: Archaea; Methanobacteriati; Methanobacteriota; Methanomicrobia; Methanosarcinales; Methanosarcinaceae. The record is from Rfam by way of RNAcentral.